UACGGAGGACCCGAGCGUUAUCCGGAUUUAUUGGGUUUAAAGGGUGCGCAGGCGGGAGAUUAAGUCGGCGGUGAAAUUUUGCAGCUCAACUGUAAAAGUGCCUUCGAAACUGGUUUCCUUGAGUGUGGAUGAAGUAGGCGGAAUUUGUGGUGUAGCGGUGAAAUGCAUAGAUAUCACGAGGAACUCCGAUUGCGCAGGCAGCUUACUAAACCAUAACUGACGCUCAGGCACGAAGGCGUGGGGAUCAAACAGGAUUAGAUACCCGCGUAGUCCCU
Molecule: ribosomal RNA, 275 nt
Filed under: uncultured prokaryote
Description: partial 16S ribosomal RNA
Rfam family: Bacterial small subunit ribosomal RNA
Source: RNAcentral